This 1345-nucleotide ribosomal RNA is filed under the name uncultured bacterium. RNAcentral's name for it is "bacterial SSU rRNA". It matches the Rfam family "Bacterial small subunit ribosomal RNA", at positions 28 to 1381 of the family's 1533-position model. The record is from RNAcentral.
GAUGAACGCUAGCGGGAGGCCUAACACAUGCAAGCCGAGCGGUAUUUGUUCUUCGGAACAGAGAGAGCGGCGUACGGGUGCGGAACACGUGUGCAACCUGCCUUUAUCAGGGGGAUAGCCCUUCGAAAGGAAGAUUAAUACCCCAUAAUAUACUGACUGGCAUCAGUCAGUAUUGAAAACUCCGGUGGAUAGAGAUGGGCACGCGCAAGAUUAGAUAGUUGGUAGGGUAACGGCCUACCAAGUCAGUGAUCUUUAGGGGGCCUGAGAGGGUGAUCCCCCACACUGGUACUGAGACACGGACCAGACUCCUACGGGAGGCAGCAGUGAGGAAUAUUGGACAAUGGGUUAGCGCCUGAUCCAGCCAUCCCGCGUGAAGGAUGACGGCCCUAUGGGUUGUAAACUUCUUUUGUAUAGGGAUAAACCUACUCUCGUGAGAGUAGCUGAAGGUACUAUACGAAUAAGCACCGGCUAACUCCGUGCCAGCAGCCGCGGUAAUACGGAAGGUGCAAGCGUUAUCCGGAUUUAUUGGGUUUAAAGGGUCCGUAGGCGGAUCUGUAAGUCAGUGGUGAAAUCUCAUAGCUUAACUAUGAAACUGCCAUUGAUACUGCAGGUCUUGAGUAAAGUAGAAGUGGCUGGAAUAAGUAGUGUAGCGGUGAAAUGCAUAGAUAUUACUUAGAACACCAAUUGCGAAGGCAGGUCACUAUGUUUUAACUGACGCUGAUGGACGAAAGCGUGGGGAGCGAACAGGAUUAGAUACCCUGGUAGUCCACGCCGUAAACGAUGCUAACUCGUUUUUGGGCUUUCGGGUUCAGAGACUAAGCGAAAGUGAUAAGUUAGCCACCUGGGGAGUACGUUCGCAAGAAUGAAACUCAAAGGAAUUGACGGGGGCCCGCACAAGCGGUGGAUUAUGUGGUUUAAUUCGAUGAUACGCGAGGAACCUUACCAAGGCUUAAAUGGGAAUUGACAGGUUUAGAAAUAGACUUUUCUUCGGACAAUUUUCAAGGUGCUGCAUGGUUGUCGUCAGCUCGUGCCGUGAGGUGUUAGGUUAAGUCCUGCAGCGAGCGCAACCCCUGUCACUAGUUGCCAUCAUUCAGUUGGGGACUCUAGUGAGACUGCCUACGCAAGUAGAGAGGAAGGUGGGGAUGACGUCAAAUCAUCACGGCCCUUACGCCUUGGGCCACACACGUAAUACAAUGGCCGGUACAGAGGGCAGCUACCAGGUGACUGGAUGCGAAUCUCGAAAGCCGGUCUCAGUUCGGAUUGGAGUCUGCAACUCGACUCUAUGAAGCUGGAAUCGCUAGUAAUCGCGCAUCAGCCAUGGCGCGGUGAAUACGUUCCCGGGCCU